This 47-nucleotide non-coding RNA is filed under the name Rhodanobacter spathiphylli. Its description in RNAcentral is "Rhodanobacter sp. Guanidine-II sequence". It matches the Rfam family "Guanidine-II riboswitch aptamer (mini-ykkC)". Rfam says of the family: Simpler in structure and has fewer highly conserved nucleotide positions than the ykkC-yxkD leader. Despite this each of its two stem-loop structures directly bind free guanidine. Lineage: Bacteria; Pseudomonadati; Pseudomonadota; Gammaproteobacteria; Lysobacterales; Rhodanobacteraceae. RNAcentral also lists the same sequence under 1 other name. The record is from RNAcentral.
GCGGCGGGACGACCCGUCGCGCUUCCGGUCCCGCGGGGACGACCCUG